UUAAGGUCAAAAGGGUCCAAAAUUAAAAUUUGUUUGAUUUUAACAAAAAUUGAAUAUAUGGGGUUCUUUGAUAUGCUGAAUCUAAACAUGUAUUUAGAUUUUUGAUUUUUGGCCCAGUUUUCAAGUUGGUCCAAAUUGGGGUCCAAAAUUAAACUUUGUUUGAUUUCAACAAAAAUUGAAUAUAUGGGGUUCUUUGAUAUGCUGAAUCUAACCAUGUAUUUAGAUUUUUUAUUUGUGGACCCCGCUAUCAAAUUGGUUCAUAUUGAGGUCAAAAGGGUCCAAAAUUAAACUUUGUUUGAUUUCAUCAAAAAUUGAAUUAUUGGGGUUCUUUGAUAUGCCAAAUCUAACCGUGUAUUUAGAUUUUUAAUUUUGGGUCCCGUUUUUUAAAUUGGUCUACAUUAAGGUCCAAAGGGUCCAAAAUUAAACUUAGUUUGAUUUUAACAAAAAAUGAAUUCUUGGGGUACUUUGAUAUGCUGAAUCUAAACAUGUGUUUAGAUUUUUGAUUAUGGGACCAGUUUUCAAGUUUGUCCAAGUUGGGGUCCAAAAUAAAACUUUGUUUGAUUUCAACAAAAAUUGAAUAUAUGGGGUUCUUUGAUAUGCUGAAUCUAACCAUGUAUUUUGAUUUUGGACAUUGGACCAUAAUAGGUAAAUUAGAAAAAUUUAAGUUCUUAGACCACAUUCUUUCUGUGUCAGAAACCUAUGCUGUGUCAAAUAUUUAAUCACAAUCCAAAUUCAGAGCUGUAUCAAGCUUGAAUGUUGUGUCCAUACUUGCCCCAACUGUUCAGGGUUCGACCUCUGCGGUCGUAUCAAGCUGCGCCCAGCGAAGCAUUUUAUUAGAGAAUAAAGUAUGUAUCUAUCUA
This is a long non-coding RNA of Mytilus californianus (California mussel), 860 nucleotides long. RefSeq lists it as uncharacterized. The transcript is spliced from 2 exons. The record is from RefSeq and is a predicted model, not a curated record. NCBI's taxonomy places the organism in Eukaryota, Metazoa, Mollusca, Bivalvia, Mytilida, Mytilidae.